CCUACGGGCGGCACCAGUGGGGAAUAUUGCACAAUGGGCGCAAGCCUGAUGCAGCCAUGCCGCGUGUAUGAAGAAGGCCUUCGGGUUGUAAAGUACUUUCAGCGGGGAGGAAGGCGAUAAGGUUAUUAACCUUGUCGAUUGACGUUACCCGCAGAAGAAGCACCGGCUAACUCCGUGCCAGCAGCCGCGGUAAUACGGAGGGUGCAAGCGUUAAUCGGAAUUACUGGGCGUAAAGCGCACGCAGGCGGUCUGUCAAGUCGGAUGUGAAAUCCCCGGGCUCAGCCUGGGAAUUGCAUUCGAAACUGGCAGGCUAGAGUCUUGUAGAGGGGGGUAGAAUUCCAGGUGUAGCGGUGAAGUGCGUAGAGAUCUGGAGGAAUACCGGUGGCGAAGGCGGCCCCCUGGACAAAGACUGACGCUCAGGUGCGAAAGCGUGGGGAGCAAACAGGAUUAGAUACCCCUGUAGUC
RNAcentral lists this ribosomal RNA (465 nucleotides) under uncultured bacterium. RNAcentral describes it as "bacterial SSU rRNA". It matches the Rfam family "Bacterial small subunit ribosomal RNA", at positions 338 to 795 of the family's 1533-position model. The record is from RNAcentral.